UACUUCCACUUCUUUCAAAUCUACUAUUGACAAUGACCAAAGGAGGAGGAGAAAGAGGAUAAACCUCAGAAGGAAAAAGAACAAAUGCAGAACAUACUAGACAGAAACCGCAGCAAAGAACAAAAUUAGACAGAAAUUGCGGAGAAUUUCGACUUAUCUGCUGCAUAUUUUUCUCAAUACUAAAGUGCCUAUACACAAGUUACAAACUGCAAAGCUAAAAAUCUUAGCUAAUAUCAGAUAUACUUAUAUAAUUACCACUACUUUCAAACUUGGUCUACUAACUUAAAACAUAAUCUGACAAUCAAACGUCAUAAACUAAGUCCAAUUUAGAUAAUUUUAUGUCAAACUUCAACUAUCCCCCUUGAUUAAAAAGGGCAUACACCAAGCAAUACAAAAGUAAAUAUGCUUUCGAGUCACUAUUUAAGGUUGAUCGGUUUCUCAAAACUGAGGGACAACAUUGGUUAAAACUGACACAGUCCGUUGAGUUGGUUUCAGCGGAGGAGCAAGUGGAUUUCAGGGAGGAGAAAUAUUCUUAUCAACUAUACAUUGAAUUGUUGAAGCAUCAUUGAGUUAGAACCCAUAUUUACCCAUAUUCUUAUGGGUUAUAUAUGGGCUUCAACCUAUAUUUUACCCAUCGAUAAAAGGGCAACUCGCAGAGAUAAUUGUUAUGAAAAUAUUAAUGUGUAGAUGUCUAUUACUCCUCUACAUAUAAUUCCCACUAUUUCAUGUUCAUAACUCUUGUAGAUGUAAUCCCCAUUACUUUAUGACCACUACUCCCACACUUUAUUUCUAUAACCCCAAAUAGUUACUACCCAUAUUUAUGAUACAUCCUUUGGUGUUCUCAAUGUAUUCCUAUAUAUAGUUGGGUUAUAUGUAAUAGUUGGUGACUUGAACACAUUUUGGAUGAAUAAGAAAUCUCUCCUCUCGUCUCUCUA
Long non-coding RNA from Lycium ferocissimum, 935 nucleotides. RefSeq lists it as uncharacterized. The transcript is spliced from 2 exons. The record is from RefSeq and is a predicted model, not a curated record. Lineage: Eukaryota; Viridiplantae; Streptophyta; Magnoliopsida; Solanales; Solanaceae.